RNAcentral lists this ribosomal RNA (980 nucleotides) under Pyrgo peruviana. Its description in RNAcentral is "SSU rRNA". It matches the Rfam family "Eukaryotic small subunit ribosomal RNA", at positions 1160 to 1831 of the family's 1831-position model. Lineage: Eukaryota; Foraminifera; Miliolida; Hauerinidae. The record is from RNAcentral.
AAGGGCACCACAAGAACGCGUGGAGCAUGUGGCUUAAUUUGACUCAACGCGGGAAAUCUUACCAGGUCCAGACAUAUUGAGGAUUGACAGGUGAUCGCAUAAUAGAAUUUAUUUUAUUAUGUACAAAUAUGAUAGUCCUUUCAUGAUUAUAUGAUAGGUGGUGCAUGGCCGUUCUUAGUUCGUGGAGUAAUCUGUCUGCUUAAUUGCGUUUCACUAAAUAUAAAAUAGUUCGUCUAUUUUAUUAUAUUCAAUGUUCUGCCUUCACAGGAUUGUGAACUUGAUUUAAUAUAUAGCUUACUAUAUAAAUGUGAAUGCAACGAACGUGACUAUAACCUUUUAUUGCAAUACUUUAUAUAUGUUAAUAUUUUUUAUAUUAAUGUAUUAUAUUGCUUAAAAUUAAAGGAACCGCUGUCUAAAAUUUAGUCUUAAAACAGAGGAAGAUUAUGGCAAUAACAGGUCUGUGAUGCCCUCAGAUGUUCUGGGCUGCACACGUGCUACAAUAAUCACUACAGUAAGUGUCUAAUAUAUAUAAAAUAUAUAUUUUAACUACGGUUAUUAUAUAUAUUAUUAAACCUAUUUCGAAAGUGAAUGGGUAAUCAUUUAAAAAUCGUGGUUAACAUUUUAUACAACAAUUUUAUAUAUUGUGUAAUGUUUAUUAUAUACUUUAUUGUAUUAAUAUCAUACACAAUAUGUUGUAUUAAUUAAUUUAAGGUGGGGAUAGUGUAUUGUUAAUUAUUACACUUGGCCUUAACUAGGAAUGCCUUGUACUGUUCCUUGGUUCAUCAUACCAACAGGAAUACGUCCCUGCCCUUUGUACACACCGCCCGUCGCUCUUACCGAUGAAUUAUAUUAUAAAUCUAAGGGACUUAAAGAAUAUUUUAUAUAUUUUUCGGAAACUUAUAUGCAUAAUGUGAUUUAAAGGAAAGAGAAGUCGUAACAAGGCAUCAGUAGGUGAACCUGCAGAAGGAUCAAGCUUGGAU